This 309-nucleotide signal recognition particle RNA is filed under the name Phascolarctos cinereus (koala). RNAcentral's name for it is "Metazoan signal recognition particle RNA (ENSPCIG00000004819.2)". It matches the Rfam family "Metazoan signal recognition particle RNA". From Rfam's summary of the family: The signal recognition particle (SRP) is a universally conserved ribonucleoprotein. Lineage: Eukaryota; Metazoa; Chordata; Mammalia; Diprotodontia; Phascolarctidae. The record is from RNAcentral.
GGGCAGGAUGGCCCAUGCCUGUCAUUUCUACUACUGGGAGGCUGAGGCUAGUGGCUCACAGGAUUUUAGGAGUUCUGAGAUGCCAAUUGGGUGUCUAUUUGAGAUGCCAAUCAGGUGUCUAACUAAGUCUAGAAUCAAUAUGGCAAGUCCCUGGAAGUGGAGGGCCACCAGGCUUCCUAAGGAGGGGUGAGCUGGCUCAGGCUGGGAAAUCAGAACAGGUUCAAACAUCAGUGUCAGUCAGCAGUGGGGUCAGGCCUGUGAGUGGCCUUUGUACUUCCAUCUUAGGCAAAAUAGGGAGAUCUAGUCUCA